GACGUAGGGCGCGAGCGUUGUCCGGAUUUAUUGGGCGUAAAGAGCUCGUAGGCGGCUUGUCGCGUCGUCCGUGAAAACCUGCAGCUCAACUGCAGGCUUGCGGGCGAUACGGGCAGGCUAGAGUUCGGUAGGGGAGACUGGAAUUCCUGGUGUAGCGGUGAAAUGCGCGAGAUAUCAGGGAGGGAACACCGGUGGGCGAAGGCGGGUCUCUGG
This 213-nucleotide ribosomal RNA is filed under the name uncultured bacterium. RNAcentral's name for it is "partial 16S ribosomal RNA". It matches the Rfam family "Bacterial small subunit ribosomal RNA", at positions 524 to 732 of the family's 1533-position model. The record is from RNAcentral.